This 613-nucleotide ribosomal RNA is filed under the name aff. Aureobasidium sp. Its description in RNAcentral is "eukaryotic LSU rRNA". The stretch from base 254 to 407 matches the Rfam family "5.8S ribosomal RNA". Lineage: Eukaryota; Fungi; Ascomycota; Dothideomycetes; Dothideales; Saccotheciaceae. The record is from RNAcentral.
UUUUUCUUGGUCAUUUAGAGGAAGUAAAAGUCGUAACAAGGUUUCCGUAGGUGAACCUGCGGAAGGAUCAUUAAAGAGUAAGGGUGCUCAGCGCCCGACCUCCAACCCUUUGUUGUUAAAACUACCUUGUUGCUUUGGCGGGACCGCUCGGUCUCGAGCCGCUGGGGAUUCGUCCCAGGCGAGCGCCCGCCAGAGUUAAACCAAACUCUUGUUAUUAAACCGGUCGUCUGAGUUAAAAUUUUGAAUAAAUCAAAACUUUCAACAACGGAUCUCUUGGUUCUCGCAUCGAUGAAGAACGCAGCGAAAUGCGAUAAGUAAUGUGAAUUGCAGAAUUCAGUGAAUCAUCGAAUCUUUGAACGCACAUUGCGCCCCUUGGUAUUCCGAGGGGCAUGCCUGUUCGAGCGUCAUUACACCACUCAAGCUAUGCUUGGUAUUGGGUGCCGUCCUUAGUUGGGCGCGCCUUAAAGACCUCGGCGAGGCCUCACCGGCUUUAGGCGUAGUAGAAUUUAUUCGAACGUCUGUCAAAGGAGAGGACUUCUGCCGACUGAAACCUUUAUUUUUCUAGGUUGACCUCGGAUCAGGUAGGGAUACCCGCUGAACUUAAGCAUAUCAU